GACGAAGGUGGCAAGCGUUAUUCGGAUUUACUGGGCAUAAAGCGCGCGUAGGCGGCUUGGCAAGUCGGGUGUGAAAGCCCGCAGCUCAACUGCGGAACUGCCUUCGAUACUGCCGGGCUUGAGGGCGGGAGGGGUGAUUGGAACUCCAGGUGUAGCGGUGAAAUGCGUAGAUAUCUGGAGGAACACCGGAGGCGAAGGCGAAUCACUGGACCGCUUCUGACGCUGAGGCGCGAAAGCUAGGGGAGCAAACAGG
This 253-nucleotide ribosomal RNA is filed under the name uncultured bacterium. Its description in RNAcentral is "partial 16S ribosomal RNA". It matches the Rfam family "Bacterial small subunit ribosomal RNA", at positions 524 to 776 of the family's 1533-position model. The record is from RNAcentral.